RNAcentral lists this ribosomal RNA (374 nucleotides) under uncultured organism. RNAcentral's name for it is "partial 16S ribosomal RNA". It matches the Rfam family "Bacterial small subunit ribosomal RNA", at positions 527 to 896 of the family's 1533-position model. The record is from RNAcentral.
GUAGGUGGCAAGCGUUGUCCGGAAUUAUUGGGCGUAAAGCGCGCGCAGGCGGUUCUUUAAGUCUGAUGUGAAAGCCCACGGCUCAACCGUGGAGGGUCAUUGGAAACUGGAGAACUUGAGUACAGAAGAGGAAAGCGGAAUUCCACGUGUAGCGGUGAAAUGCGUAGGGAUGUGGAGGAACACCAGUGGCGAAGGCGGCUUUCUGGUCUGUAACUGACGCUGAGGCGCGAAAGCGUGGGGAGCAAACAGGGAUUAGAUACCCUGGUAGUCCACGCCGUAAACGAUGAGUGCUAAGUGUUAGGGGGGUUUCCGCCCCCUUAGUGCUGCAGCUAACGCAUUAAGCACUCCGCCAGGGGAGUACGGCCGCAAGGCUG